ACAAAGGUCUCUUUUGAGACCAACAACUUUUUCACUAUGAGUGCAG
Non-coding RNA from Xenopus tropicalis (tropical clawed frog), 46 nucleotides. Lineage: Eukaryota; Metazoa; Chordata; Amphibia; Anura; Pipidae. The record is from Rfam.